RNAcentral lists this long non-coding RNA (211 nucleotides) under Saimiri boliviensis boliviensis (Bolivian squirrel monkey). Its description in RNAcentral is "lncRNA (ENSSBOG00000036725.1)". The record is from RNAcentral. Lineage: Eukaryota; Metazoa; Chordata; Mammalia; Primates; Cebidae.
AGCUUGAAUUUUGUGUUUCUGUUUCUUUGCAUGGCAGGCAUUGUCAGUGUUCCCUCUGUAUCUUCUGGACAUUCACCAUUCCUGUAAAUGCAAAAGGAUUUUUACUGUAUGCAUCUCUAACUCUCUGCCUAGGAGAUCUCGCUAGAGUAUACAAGGAAUGGAAAAAUACCCACAACAGAGUGAAAAAUGAAGCUUUCAAUCAGGAAUCCAG